This 448-nucleotide ribosomal RNA is filed under the name uncultured bacterium. RNAcentral describes it as "bacterial SSU rRNA". It matches the Rfam family "Bacterial small subunit ribosomal RNA", at positions 330 to 793 of the family's 1533-position model. The record is from RNAcentral.
ACCAGACUCCUACGGGAGGCAGCAGUGGGGAAUAUUGGGCAAUGGGCGCAAGCCUGACCCAGCAAUGCCGCGUGAAGGAAGAAGGCUUUCGGGUUGUAAACUUCUUUGACAGGGGAAGAGCAGAAGACGGUACCCUGAAAACAAGCCACGGCUAACUACGUGCCAGCAGCCGCGGUAAUACGUAGGGGGCAAGCGUUAUCCGGAUUCACUGGGUGUAAAGGGAGCGUAGACGGCGACGCAAGUCUGGAGUGAAAGCCCGGGGCCCAACCCCGGGACUGCUCUGGAAACUGCGUCGCUGGAGUACGGGAGGGGCAGGCGGAAUUCCUGGUGUAGCGGUGAAAUGCGUAGAUAUCAGGAGGAACACCGGCGGCGAAGGCGGCCUGCUGGACCGUGACUGACGUUGAGGCUCGAGAGCGUGGGGAGCAAACAGGAUUAGAUACCCCGGUAA